UAAGUUUAUAGCUUUUCUGUCUUAUUAGACUCAGCCUGGGUAUAGAACUCUCACUGUACACCACCACCAUCAUUGUAAGUUACCUCUUGGACAAAUUUCAUACCUGCCCAGGUAAACUUCUGGAUUUUCUUGGAUCAGAAAUGGAAGGAAGCUGAUCUAAGAAGAUCGUGUUAUUAUUUCUUGCCAUAUCUAAUCCUGCUACCAAUGAUGUAGUUGAAUGAAGUAAUCACAAGUAAAUCCAAGGAGUUCUUGUAGGUAGCAAGAAUUCGAAGGGAUACAUAAGGGAUUGUGGGGCGGGGGUGCCACACAUGAAACUGAAUGUGUAUGAGGAGGACUGGAUACUGGAGAA
RNAcentral lists this long non-coding RNA (349 nucleotides) under Bos taurus (domestic cattle). RNAcentral describes it as "long non-coding RNA NONBTAT015623". Lineage: Eukaryota; Metazoa; Chordata; Mammalia; Artiodactyla; Bovidae. The record is from RNAcentral.